Molecule: ribosomal RNA, 501 nt
Filed under: uncultured bacterium
Lineage: Bacteria
Description: partial 16S ribosomal RNA
Rfam family: Bacterial small subunit ribosomal RNA
Source: RNAcentral
AUUGAACGCUGGCGGCAGGCUUAACACAUGCAAGUCGAGCGGGGGAAGGUAGCUUGCUACUGGACCUAGCGGCGGACGGGUGAGUAAUGCUUAGGAAUCUGCCUAUUAGUGGGGGACAACAUCUCGAAAGGGAUGCUAAUACCGCAUACGUCCUACGGGAGAAAGCAGGGGAUCUUCGGACCUUGCGCUAAUAGAUGAGCCUAAGUCGGAUUAGCUAGUUGGUGGGGUGAAGGCCUACCAAGGCGACGAUCUGUAGCGGGUCUGAGAGGAUGAUCCGCCACACUGGGACUGAGACACGGCCCAGACUCCUACGGGAGGCAGCAGUGGGGAAUAUUGGACAAUGGGGGGAACCCUGAUCCAGCCAUGCCGCGUGUGUGAAGAAGGCCUUAUGGUUGUAAAGCACUUUAAGCGAGGAGGAGGCUACUCUAGUUAAUACCUAGGGAUAGUGGACGUUACUCGCAGAAUAAGCACCGGCUAACUCUGUGCCAGCAGCCGCCGCAG